This 306-nucleotide unclassified non-coding RNA is filed under the name plant metagenome. RNAcentral's name for it is "partial contains 5.8S ribosomal RNA, internal transcribed spacer 2, and large subunit ribosomal RNA". The stretch from base 1 to 105 matches the Rfam family "5.8S ribosomal RNA", at positions 50 to 154 of the family's 154-position model. The record is from RNAcentral.
GAAAUGCGAUAAGUAGUGUGAAUUGCAGAAUUCAGUGAAUCAUCGAAUCUUUGAACGUACAUUGCGCCCCUUGGUAUUCCAUGGGGCAUGCCUGUUCGAGCGUCAUCUACACCCUCAAGCUCUGCUUGGUGUUGGGCGUCUUUGUCCCGCCUCCGCGCGCGGACUCGCCCCAAAUUCAUUGGCAGCGGUCCUUGCCUCCUCUCGCGCAGCACAUUGCGCUUCUCGAGGUGUUGCGGCCCGCGUCCAGAAAGCAAUCGUUACCGUCUUUGACCUCGGAUCAGGUAGGGAUACCCGCUGAACUUAAGC